RNAcentral lists this ribosomal RNA (464 nucleotides) under uncultured bacterium. RNAcentral's name for it is "partial 16S rRNA". It matches the Rfam family "Bacterial small subunit ribosomal RNA", at positions 355 to 805 of the family's 1533-position model. The record is from RNAcentral.
UAGGGAAUCUUCCGCAAUGGGCGAAAGCCUGACGGAGCAACGCCGCGUGAGUGAUGAAGGUCUUCGGAUCGUAAAACUCUGUUAUUAGGGAAGAACAUAUGUGUAAGUAACUGUGCACAUCUUGACGGUACCUAAUCAGAAAGCCACGGCUAACUACGUGCCAGCAGCCGCGGUAAUACGUAGGUGGCAAGCGUUAUCCGGAAUUAUUGGACGUAAAGCGCGCGUAGGCGGUUUUUUAAGUCUGAUGUGAAAGCCCACGGCUCAACCGUGGAGGGUCAUUGGAAACUGGAAAACUUGAGUGCAGAAGAGGAAAGUGGAAUUCCAUGUGUAGCGGUGAAAUGCGCAGAGAUAUGGAGGAACACCAGUGGCGAAGGCGACUUUCUGGUCUGUAACUGAAACCCUUUUUUUGGAAAAAAGGGGGGGGGAAAACGAGUUAANUAAACCCCGGGGGGCCCCCCCCCCAA